This 1737-nucleotide long non-coding RNA is filed under the name Ananas comosus (pineapple). RNAcentral's name for it is "long non-coding RNA (ACOM_LNC025205)". Lineage: Eukaryota; Viridiplantae; Streptophyta; Magnoliopsida; Poales; Bromeliaceae. The record is from RNAcentral.
UUUUUGAAAGUACGGUAGUUUUCGUGUUUAUAAAUUAUUUUUGAUGAUGGGACAUUCAAUUCGAAGAUUGGUUUUAUUAGAUAUGAUUUAUACUAAAUUUAGAGCUAUUUAGAAACUAAAUUUUAUGUUUUUUUUAUUUCGUUUGUUUAGUGAACGAAUAACCACAAAAUAAAAAAUAAAAAUAAAAAUUUCAUAAAAAGUAGUGAUAAAAGACUCAAAUUUCAAAUCGAAAGUAUUAAUAUUGCUCUUGAUAUUAAGUAAAAUUUUUUAUUAAAAUUUCAUAUAAUUUGAAUUGUUCUAGACAGUUGAACUUACAAACGUGUCAUCUCGGCUAUUGAAAUAGUCAUUUUUGAGACUUUUUAAUCACUUGAUAAAUAAUAUCGAAAAAUAAUAAAAUUUGAUUUUCAAAUAGUUCUAAUAGUAUAAAUCAUGCCUAAGAAAACCAAUCGUCGAAUCGGUGUUCCAUCAUCAAACAAAAAUUUACAGCCGCGGAGACCUCCGUGCAUUCAAAAGCAUAGAAGCCUAGCUCUAUAUAGAGAGAGAGAGUCCGGCUACUAUAUUCUUAUAAGUAUAAUUAUUUUCGUACUCAUAAGUCGUUUUUAAUGAUAGAGCUUCCGAAUCGACGAUUCAUACCGUUAAAUAUUAUCUAGAACAUUUAAAACUUUUAGAAAUCAAAUUUUAUAAUUUUUUAAUAUCAUUUACCUUACGAUCCAAAAAUCUCAAAACUGGACAAUUUUUAGCUACCGAUAUAGGAUACUUACUAGUUUAACGGUGUAAAAAAUAAAAUUCGGUUGGAUUUUUGAUAGAAAAUUUUAGAAAAAACAUUAAACACCACCCCUCUGGUAUCACACUUUCUUACUUUAAUUAGUACCCUAUGGUUUAAAAUGUAUCAAUUUAGUGCCAUAUGGUUUCAUUUUUAUCUUUUUAUUAUCGAUUCCACUAAUUUUUUUAUUAAAUCAGUGACAAAGUUAAAACUAAAGAAUACUAAAAUAAAUAUUCGAUAAACUUAUAUCAUUAUAUGGCGCCUCAACUAAUGAAGUGCGAAGAACAAAUAAGCCUUCAGCUAAAGGGUUUGGUAACAGUGACGCAACCAACUCUUCUAACCAACCCUCCACUGAUAAAGGAAAAGCUAUAAUAAUUGGAGGGGAUGAUGUUUCAGCUAAACAGGAUAGGCCAACUUUUGAGCAAAGAUUGAAUAGGGUCUACUUUUUCCAACGGGAAACCGUUCCGAAACUGUUUCGACAAGCUCUUAAGUCUCAAAGACUCACUCUGCAAUUUUUUGUAUAUAAUUUAACAAAAUAUUAACGAAAAUGUUGACGAAAAGAUAAAAAUAAAACUACAGGAUACUAACUUGAUACACUUUAAAUCACAAGAUACUAAAAUAAGAAAGUACAAAACCACAAGAAUGAUAUUUAAAGUUUAACCAAAAUUCUAUUCACUAUCUAGAUAAAGAUCAAUAAUUUUGAUCUUAGAUUAAAGGGUCUGAUCAUCCAUUUUUAGUAUGCUGUUCGAUUUUGACCAUUCAUUUUAUACACGUUUGAUAAGCUUUAUUAUGAUUUCGAAAAAUUACGAAAUUUAUUUUUUAAAAGCUUCAAAUAUUCUAGAUCAUAUUUAAUAGAGUUGAUCAUCAAUUCGGAAACACCAUUAUAAAAAAUAACUUAUGAGUACGAAGAACUCUAUAUUCAUAAGAGUAGAGUAUCCCUUCUCUCUCUCUCUCUCUCUCUAUAUAUAUAUAAU